UUAUCCCAACAUGCACUGGGGUGAAGGAAGUGAAGUGAUGUUGGCACACCAUCCCGGCACUCUUAAAACAAGGUACAGAGUGACACCAGUUGUGACAAUAAAAAAUGAUGCCAUCGACUGCCAUCCAUUCAAGUCACGCUUGGUGACCUUUAGACAGGAGACCAAUUCCAGUUUGGUGUCCUGAGGUUUGAGUAUAAAAGAAACUCUCCCAGCCUUCUCAGAAGUCUUGGACUGACAGGCAGACAGAGACAUUUACAAGCCGACUGGAGCUGUGAUGCAUCAUGGCAACAUGAAAUUGAAACAGAAGCCGCGUGAAGAGCAGGCUGAGCCUGACAGCACUGAGGGU
Long non-coding RNA from Thalassophryne amazonica, 346 nucleotides. RefSeq lists it as uncharacterized. The transcript has 3 exons. Lineage: Eukaryota; Metazoa; Chordata; Actinopteri; Batrachoidiformes; Batrachoididae. The record is from RefSeq and is a predicted model, not a curated record.